GACCGCUUGGCGCAAUGGUAGCGCGUUCGACUCCAGAUCGAGAGGUUGGGCGUUCGAUCCGCUCAGUGGUCA
Non-coding RNA from Angiostrongylus costaricensis, 72 nucleotides. The record is from Rfam. NCBI's taxonomy places the organism in Eukaryota, Metazoa, Nematoda, Chromadorea, Rhabditida, Metastrongylidae.